GCCAGACUCCUACGGGAGGCAGCGGUGGGGAAUAUUGCACAAUGGGGGAAACCCUGAUGCAGCGACGCCGCGUGAGUGAAGAAGUAUUUCGGUAUGUAAAGCUCUAUCAGCAGGGAAGAAAAUGACGGUACCUGACUAAGAAGCCCCGGCUAACUACGUGCCAGCAGCCGCGGUAAUACGUAGGGGGCAAGCGUUAUCCGGAUUUACUGGGUGUAAAGGGAGCGUAGACGGUAGAGCAAGUCUGAAGUGAAAGCCCGCGGCUCAACUGCGGGACUGCUUUGGAAACUGUUCAACUGGAGUGCUGGAGAGGUAAGCGGAAUUCCUAGUGUAGCGGUGAAAUGCGUAGAUAUUAGGAGGAACACCGGUGGCGAAGGCGGCCUACUGGACUGUAACUGACGUUGAGGCUCGAAAGCGUGGGGAGCAAACAGGAUUAGAUACCCUUGUA
This 445-nucleotide ribosomal RNA is filed under the name uncultured bacterium. RNAcentral describes it as "partial 16S ribosomal RNA". It matches the Rfam family "Bacterial small subunit ribosomal RNA", at positions 330 to 792 of the family's 1533-position model. The record is from RNAcentral.